CCUACGGGAGGCAGCAGUGGGGAAUAUUGCGCAAUGGAGGAAACUCUGACGCAGCAACGCCGCGUGGGUGAAGAAGGUCUUCGGAUUGUAAAGCCCUGUCGGGAGGGAAGAAAAGCACAUGGUGAAUGUGUCUGACGGUACCUUCGAAGGAAGCACUGGCUAACUCCGUGCCAGCAGCCGCGGUAAUACGGAGAGUGCAAACGUUGUUCGGAAUUAUUGGGCGUAAAGGGCGCGUAGGCGGCUUGGUAAGUCAGAUGUGAAAGCCCUGGGCUCAACCCGGGAAGUGCGUUUGAAACUGCUAAGCUUGAGUGCAGGAGGGAGAGGUGGAAUUCCAGGUGUAGGAGUGAAAUCCGUAGAUAUCUGGAGGAACACCGGUGGCGAAGGCGACCUCUUGGCCUGAAACUGACGCUGAGGCGCGAAGGCGUGGGUAGCAAACAGGAUUAGAUACCCUGGUAGUCCACGCGGUAAACGAUGCUCACUGGGUGCUGGUGGCAGACGCUGUCAGUGCGUGCACGACGAUAAGUAGAGCCGCCGUCGGGAGGUACGGUCGCGAGAAGUAAACGUACGAAAGAAGUUAGACGGCGUGAGACGUGACCGACGGACGACGACGAGGGAGGAGG
This 620-nucleotide ribosomal RNA is filed under the name uncultured bacterium. RNAcentral describes it as "bacterial SSU rRNA". The stretch from base 1 to 533 matches the Rfam family "Bacterial small subunit ribosomal RNA", at positions 338 to 873 of the family's 1533-position model. The record is from RNAcentral.